RNAcentral lists this ribosomal RNA (475 nucleotides) under uncultured bacterium. RNAcentral describes it as "bacterial SSU rRNA". It matches the Rfam family "Bacterial small subunit ribosomal RNA", at positions 28 to 517 of the family's 1533-position model. The record is from RNAcentral.
GAUGAACGCUGGCGGCGUGCUUAACACAUGCAAGUCGAACGAAGAUGCCGGAGUGCUUGCACUUUGGCAGACUGAGUGGCGGACGGGUGAGUAACGCGUGGGUAACCUGCCUUAUACAGGGGGAUAACAGUUGGAAACGACUGCUAAUACCGCAUAAGCGCACGGUAUCGCAUGAUACAGUGUGAAAAACUCCGGUGGUAUAAGAUGGACCCGCGUCUGAUUAGCUAGUUGGUGAGGUAACGGCCCACCAAGGCGACGAUCAGUAGCCGGCCUGAGAGGGUGAACGGCCACAUUGGGACUGAGACACGGCCCAAACUCCUACGGGAGCAGCAGUGGGGAAUAUUGCACAAUGGGGAAACCCUGAUGCAGCGACGCCGCGUGAGUGAUGAGUAUUCGGUAUGUAAAACUCUAUCAGCAGGGAAGAUAAUGACGGUACCUGACUAAGAAGCACCGGCUAAAUACGUGCCAGCAGCCG